This 475-nucleotide ribosomal RNA is filed under the name uncultured bacterium. RNAcentral's name for it is "bacterial SSU rRNA". It matches the Rfam family "Bacterial small subunit ribosomal RNA", at positions 28 to 507 of the family's 1533-position model. The record is from RNAcentral.
GACGAACGCUGGCGGCGUGCCUAACACAUGCAAGUCGAGCGGGGUUGAAGCGAGGGGUAACUCGGACUUCUACCUAGCGGCGGACGGGUGAGUAACGCGUGGGCAACCUGCCUCAAGGUUUGGGAUAACAGCUCGAAAGGGCUGCUAAUACCGGAUAUGCCUGUGGCCUCGCAUGGGGCUAUGAGCAAAGGGGAAACCCGCCUUGAGAUGGGCCCGCGUCCCAUCAGCUAGUUGGUGAGGUGAAGGCUCACCAAGGCGACGACGGGUAGCCGGCCUGAGAGGGUGACCGGCCACACUGGGACUGAGACACGGCCCAGACUCCUACGGGGGGCAGCAGUGGGGGAUCUUGCACAAUGGGCGAAAGCCUGAUGCAGCGACGCCGCGUGAGCGAAGAAGGCCUUCGGGUUGUAAAGCUCUGUCUGGAGGGACGAAGAAAGUGACGGUACCUCCGGAGGAAGCCACGGCUAACUACGUG